UACGUAGGGCGCAAGCGUUAUCCGGAAUUAUUGGGCGUAAAGAGCUCGUAGGCGGUUUGUCGCGUCUGCCGUGAAAGCCCGGGGCUUAACCCCGGGUCUGCAUUCGAUACGGGCUAGCUAGAGUGUGGUAGGGGAGAUCGGAAUUCCUGGUGUAGCGGUGAAAUGCGCAGAUAUCAGGAGGAACACCGGUGGCGAAGGCGGAUCUCUGGGCCAUUACUGACGCUGAGGAGCGAAAGCGUGGGGAGCGAACAGG
This 253-nucleotide ribosomal RNA is filed under the name uncultured bacterium. RNAcentral describes it as "partial 16S ribosomal RNA". It matches the Rfam family "Bacterial small subunit ribosomal RNA", at positions 524 to 776 of the family's 1533-position model. The record is from RNAcentral.